UUGAUCAUGGCUCAGGAUGAACGCUAGCUACAGGCUAACACAUGCAAGUCGAGGGGCAGCAGGAUCUUAGCUUGCUAAGAUUGCUGGCGACCGGCGCACGGGUGAGUAACGCGUAUCCAACCUUCCCUUAGUAGGGCAUAGCCCGAAAUGAAAAUCGGAUUAAUACCCUAUGUUUCCAAUGAGGACAUCUGAGCUAGGAACAAAGAUUCAUCGCGUAAGGGAUGGGGGAUGCGUCCGAUUAGGUAGUCGGCGGGGUAACGGCCCACCGAGCCAUCGAUCGGUAGGGGUUCUGAGAGGAAGGUCCCCCACAUUGGAACUGAGACACGGUCCAAACUCCUACGGGAGGCAGCAGUGAGGAAUAUUGGUCAAUGGGCGAGAGCCUGAACCAGCCAAGUAGCGUGCCAGGAUGACCGGCCCUAUGGGUUGUAAACUGUCUUUUAUGCGGGGAUAAAGUGCGCCACGUGUGGUGUUUUGUAGGUACCGCAUGAAUAAGGACCGGCUAAUUCCGUGCCAGCCGCUGC
RNAcentral lists this ribosomal RNA (521 nucleotides) under uncultured bacterium. RNAcentral describes it as "bacterial SSU rRNA". It matches the Rfam family "Bacterial small subunit ribosomal RNA", at positions 13 to 518 of the family's 1533-position model. The record is from RNAcentral.